UACGAAGGGGGCUAGCGUUGCUCGGAAUUACUGGGCGUAAAGGGCGCGUAGGCGGCGGAUCAAGUCAGGCGUGAAAUUCCUGGGCUUAACCUGGGGGCUGCGCUUGAGACUGAUGUGCUUGAGGAUGGCAGAGGCUCGUGGAAUUCCCAGUGUAGAGGUGAAAUGCGUAGAGAUCGGGAGGAACAUCAGUGGCGAAGGCGGCCAUCUGGGACAACACUGACGCUGAGGCACGAAAGCGUGGGGAGCAAACAGG
RNAcentral lists this ribosomal RNA (253 nucleotides) under uncultured bacterium. Its description in RNAcentral is "partial 16S ribosomal RNA". It matches the Rfam family "Bacterial small subunit ribosomal RNA", at positions 524 to 776 of the family's 1533-position model. The record is from RNAcentral.